AAGUCGUAACAAGGUUUCCGUAGGUGAACCUGCGGAAGGAUCAUUAGUGAAUGCCCUCACGGGCUUAACUAUCCAACCAACCUCUGUGAACCGUCGCCCUCGGGCGCUUCUAUAACAAACUAUAACUGUCAUGAACGUCGUAUACAAAAACAAAACACAACUUUCAACAACGGAUCUCUUGGCUCUC
This 187-nucleotide unclassified non-coding RNA is filed under the name Saitozyma sp. Its description in RNAcentral is "partial internal transcribed spacer region". The stretch from base 1 to 46 matches the Rfam family "Eukaryotic small subunit ribosomal RNA", at positions 1786 to 1831 of the family's 1831-position model. The record is from RNAcentral. Lineage: Eukaryota; Fungi; Basidiomycota; Tremellomycetes; Tremellales; Trimorphomycetaceae.